This 249-nucleotide ribosomal RNA is filed under the name uncultured bacterium. RNAcentral's name for it is "partial small subunit ribosomal RNA". It matches the Rfam family "Bacterial small subunit ribosomal RNA", at positions 26 to 288 of the family's 1533-position model. The record is from RNAcentral.
AGAAUCAACGCUGGCGGCGUGCCUAACACAUGCAAGUCGCACGAGAAAGGGACUUCGGUCCUGAGUACAGUGGCGCACGGGUGAGUAACACGUGAAUAAUCUACCUCCGAGUGGGGAAUAAACUGAGAGAAAUCUUAGCUAAUACCGCAUAACACUUACGAGUCAAAGCAGCAAUGCGCUUGGAGAGGAGUUCGCGGCAGAUUAGUUAGUUGGCGGGGUAAUGGCCCACCAAGACGAUGAUCUGUAUCC